RNAcentral lists this ribosomal RNA (253 nucleotides) under uncultured bacterium. Its description in RNAcentral is "partial 16S ribosomal RNA". It matches the Rfam family "Bacterial small subunit ribosomal RNA", at positions 524 to 776 of the family's 1533-position model. The record is from RNAcentral.
UACGUAGGGUGCGAGCGUUGUCCGGAAUUAUUGGGCGUAAAGAGCUCGUAGGCGGUUUGUCGCGUCGACUGUGAAAACCUACAGCUUAACUGUGGGCUUGCAGUCGAUACGGGCAGACUUGAGUUCGGUAGGGGAGACUGGAAUUCCUGGUGUAGCGGUGAAAUGCGCAGAUAUCAGGAGGAACACCGGUGGCGAAGGCGGGUCUCUGGGCCGAUACUGACGCUGAGGAGCGAAAGCAUGGGGAGCGAACAGG